RNAcentral lists this long non-coding RNA (1032 nucleotides) under Zonotrichia albicollis (white-throated sparrow). RNAcentral describes it as "lncRNA (ENSZALG00000002092.1)". Lineage: Eukaryota; Metazoa; Chordata; Aves; Passeriformes; Passerellidae. The record is from RNAcentral.
CCCGGCACUGCGGGACAUCAGAGGGCACUGGGCUGGGAAUGGCCAUGGGACGGGGGCAGCAGCACCCCAGGGCNCGGCCCUUCAUGGCACGGAGCACGGCUGGGAACAGCUGUGGGAGCGGGGUUUGUGGGGUGGGACGGGCCUGGACAGCCCUGCUCCCACACAGUGCCCACCCCAGUGCCAGGGCAUGCACUCGGACAUGGAGACAAAGCAGGGCAGAAUUCCAGGUGUGGCCAGCAGGACAUGGCCAUGGAGGAGGAGGAGGAGCCCAGGGGCAGCAGGAGAUGCAGCAAUGGAGUUGGGCUGGUGUGGAGCCACCAGCCAAAAUCCCAGGAACACCAGCAGGGGACAAGUCACGGGUCAGUGGUGGCCACAGCAGUGCUGGGGAAUGGUGGGACUUGAUGGUCCCAGAGGGACUGCCAAUCCAAAUGGCUCCAUGGCCUGUUACUGAGGUGGGAGUGGGGCUGUGCUCCCAGGGAACAGGGACAGCAGGAGAUGCAGCAGAUUCAAGCUGGGCCAGGGAAGGCUCAGGGGGGACAUCAGAAGGAAUUUCCCCACAGAAAGGCUGCUCAGGCACUGUCACAGCUGUCCAGGGAGGUUUGGAGUCCCCAUCCCUGGAGGGAUUUCAAGGAUAUAUAUGGAUGUGGCACUUGGGGACAUGGUCAGCAGUGGCCUUGGCAGUGUUGUGGAUGGUUGGACCCAAUGGGCUCAGAGGGAUUUUCCAACCUCAGUAACUCUGUGAUUCCACAACUUUCUGACCCUAAGUCAACCAGCAGGACGUGGGCACAGGACAGGAAUGUCCUCUCCAUCCACAGAGGACACCGACCCCCAUCCGCAGCCCCCCUCACCUUUUUGGCCUCCAGCAUCUUGUUCUCGAAGACGUAGGAGAUGCAGUUCCUGACCACCUCCAGGCGCCGGGCGCUGUUGGCCAGGGCGUUCCCGUUGCGCUCCAGGAUGGCAGCUGGGUGGAACAGAUCCCGUCACUCUGGGUGGGGCAGGGCUGGCACCCGGGGGGACACCGCGUCCCCCUGC